Molecule: ribosomal RNA, 500 nt
Filed under: uncultured Myrionecta
Lineage: Eukaryota; Ciliophora; Litostomatea; Cyclotrichida; Mesodiniidae
Description: SSU rRNA
Rfam family: Eukaryotic small subunit ribosomal RNA
Source: RNAcentral
GUGGGCCUCAAGACUAAAGCCAUGCACGUCUAGUACAAACUAAAUGAUGGUGAAACUGCAAAUGGCUACAACAACGGUUAUGAUGUACCCGGGAGUUCCGAUGGAUAUUUCCAGUAACACUAGAACUAAUACAUGUCCCUGCGUUUAUUAGUUUCGCACAGUCCGUCGCUGAGUCAUGGUAAACAGUUGAUCGACUCGACGUCCCGGAACAGUUUCCGCCCCAUCAGCUUCGAUGGUUGGGUAUUGGCCUACCAUUGCAACAACGGGUAACGAGGAAUUAGGGUUUGAUUUCGGAGAGGGAGCCUGAGAAACGGCUACCACAUCUACGGAUGGCAGCAGGCGCGCAAAUUACCCAAUGCAGACACUGUGAGGUAGUGACGAGAAAUAAUAAAGCGGGACUUCUGUUUCGCUAUUAUAAUGAGGAAUAACCAAAGGUCAUUCCGAUUAGCAACUGAUGGGAAAGUCUGGUGCCAGCAGCCGCGGUAAUACCAGCGUCAGUA